RNAcentral lists this ribosomal RNA (596 nucleotides) under Sphingomonas sp. EK-I69. RNAcentral describes it as "bacterial SSU rRNA". It matches the Rfam family "Bacterial small subunit ribosomal RNA", at positions 35 to 694 of the family's 1533-position model. The record is from RNAcentral. Lineage: Bacteria; Pseudomonadati; Pseudomonadota; Alphaproteobacteria; Sphingomonadales; Sphingomonadaceae.
GUUGGCGGAUGCUACCUGCAGUCGACGAGACUUCGCUUCGGUGUCGGCGGCGCGUCCACUGUUAAUCUGCCCUUGCUACCUUUAUCUGUUGGAAACGACUUCUAAUACCGGAUGAUGUAGUGUUCCUUAUGUUUUCGCUCAAUUAUUAUUCCGCACUCCGGUGGCUAGAGAUGGCACGUAGGGAACCGAGAGGUGGAGCCGUAGCUGCUCUCAGAUCUGAUCACUUUCACUGGGACUGAAACACGACCCCCACUCCUGCGGGAGACACAAGUGAGAAAUAUAUAACAAUGGGCGAAAGGCUGAUCUAGCAAUGCCGCGUGAGAGCCUAAGCCCUUAGUGCCGUGAGGGUCUUUUACCCCCUAAGAUAUUGACUGUUCUGUGAGAAAAAGCCCCGGCUAACUCCGUGCCAGCAGCCGCGGUAAUACGUAAGGGGGCUAGCGUUGUUCGUAAUUACUGGGCGUAAAGCGCACGUAGACGGCCUUGUAAGUAAGAGGUGAAAGCCUGGAGCUCAACUCCGGAACUGCCUUUUAGACUGCAUCGCUUGAAUCCCAGCCGAGGUGAGUGGAAUUCCGAGUUGUAGCGAUGAAAUGCCUAAG